This is a long non-coding RNA of Solanum lycopersicum (tomato), 3054 nucleotides long. RefSeq lists it as uncharacterized. NCBI's taxonomy places the organism in Eukaryota, Viridiplantae, Streptophyta, Magnoliopsida, Solanales, Solanaceae. The record is from RefSeq and is a predicted model, not a curated record.
AUACAAUUGGACUAACCCAAUAUUCUCAAUCCAUUUGUUUCAAUUACCAGAAGACCAUCAGACCACAAUUCAAUAACCCAACAAAUAUCCAAUACAAUCCAACCCCUUCUCCUUCUCCAACAAAACGACUUACAAGCAACGCGACAAAACCAAAAAAUCGUGCAACUCCAUUUCGCAUCAGACGUGAAAUCAGCAAACAUAGCGUGCUCUCCUUAUCCUCUCGUAGAGGCGUACUCGAACCGAGAAGGUGUCUCAAUACUAUCGCUCGCGCUUCUUUACUCAUAAUCGGAAGGCCUUGGUUCUGAAUCCAUUGAAAAUUCGUACGAAUUCCAGCACCCUCGACCUUAUCCAUUAAGAGUUCUGAAUUGUGAGGCAUUCCCCUAUCGUUUCCCCCCUCAAUUUUAACCCAGAAGUUGCCCUAUAUAAACCCUCUUCAUUCACUGUUUAGAAGAGGAUUUUCGUGGAGAAAAGAGUACCCAAAAGAUUUUGGGAACUCUUGGUUCCUUACUUUAAAAUCUUGUGUCUUUUGUCACUGUUCUAGUUUAGAGCGGUGGUGGAAUCGUCUCCUUAAACUCGUCAUCCGGUUCGCUGCCCAAAACCAGGAUGGAGUAUUCCAAUGUCGGGAAGUGUGAGACAAUUCCAUCAACAAGAUUACUGAAUGUAAAGAUCAAAGCACUACUUUGCUUUGAACAAGAAAGAAUGAUAUGGAUUUGUCACCUGCAACUACCCUUUCUUUUUUACAAUGACCUUUUGGAUUUCAAAAUCUUGCAGAGCUUGAUAAAGUUCUUGACUCCUGCAUCUGGUGUGCAAAAGAUAUUGGAUCUGUAUACAUAGAUAUGGUCCUUAGACCAACAUGCAUGGUUUAUCCACCAUUGGCAUCUCAAAGCCAGGCAAAUUGGAAAUUGGAGGGACAGAGCACCAAGCAAUGUUCAACUUCGUCAAAUGAAUGUUUGACUACCUUUAUUAUGACAGAAGACACGGUUAUUAUAUCGAAUGUCACUGGAUUUUUCUCCCCAGCUGAAACACAUCCCCUUGAUGCAAUAUGUUUCGAGGCAUUUGCUGAGCAGACAUAUGACUUGUGCUUGGCUAGAAGGAUCGCCUGCUCAACGCCACCAAUAUUUGGAACCUGUCAGUCUCUUACAAUAAGCUGUGUUUUGAGGCUGUAAAUAGUGGAGCAAAGGACCUACCAUUCAGCAGAUAAACAUAAUUACAUCAACCACCAAGCUUUACUUUUCAAGAUGACUUUGAUCUCUUUAUUAUCAGGUCGCGGUGAAAUUCAUCGGAAGGGAUCGAACUUCCUUAUAUCGUGCAGGCUCGAGACAAUGUCAUGCUACAAUAUCUAUGUGACAAGAUGCAGUGUUAUCGCCAGGAAAAAGAAGACGAGGAAUUGAAUAAACCUCUCUCAAGAUCAAACAUAAAAGAGAAUCAGUUGUGGGUUUUAGAGAAGCAUAGAGGAUUCCAGGAGUCGGGUCAUUUGCUUUUUGCAUUUUUUGGGUGCUUACACAUUUCUCUAUCAUGCCUCCGAAUUUUACAGGAGAUUCUUAAAAUGAUUAGAAAAUAUUUAUUGGACAUCAUAUUUGGCAAAUAUUUAUGGAACAUGAAGCGCGUGAUAUUGCUACUUAAGUUUUAAGGUAAGCAUAGAUUACCACUCUAACCUGUCUUUGCUAGUAGAUAGAUGUAAUGCGGUCGCAUUGAUUAUUUCACUGAAUAGUAACUAAUUUGGAGUCAGUAGUAAACUUUUAAAAGAUUCAUAACCUUUGGCAUAUCAGUUGGUAUCAUCUGUCGAGCAAAAUUUGUUCAAAAUAUUAUAGUCUUCAUGUAUGAUGACAAGCAUUGCUUAAUGAAGUGAAUCCAAGAUCAGAGUUCUCAUUAUAAUCCUGCUGGUGAGGAUGUUUACAAAGGAGUGUCUAAGGUAGGUGUUUCUUGUGAUUGUUUAGUAUGUUCAUAGCUCAAUUUUUUUCGUCAAUACACCAUUAUAGCUAAAGAUAGAAUGUCGUAUUUGUAGUAUUAAUGGGAGCAGCUUUCGUUGUUGGUUUGUUUAUGACCUUCUAGAUAUAUUGUUUAUGUGUGUAUUUAUUAUGGUUCAGGUUGUAUAUUAUUAGAGACAUCGGAGGGUGGUGGAGAAAGAACACAUAAUAACGUUAUGUCUAUAUGACUUAUGAAGACAUUCUCGGGCAUAAACUUUUAAACAAACUUUUUGCAGUUAUGUAUAUGUUAUUGUUGCCACUACUUUAAAGUGUAAAAUGUUGGGCCCGUGCUUAGCACGGGCAACACUCAUCUAGUAUAUAUAUAUAUAUUUCAAAUACAAAUGGUCUAAUAUCUUUGUGAUCACUGUUAGUAGUGCUUCUAUUUCGUAACCUCGAGAGUUAUAUUUUGUUUCUUGUUUAAGUUGGAUGUUUAGCAAUUAUCGGAGUCCAGUUAAUUCAUUUGUUUAGUCAGAUAUCUGAUCCAUUCAUAAACCUUCGACGAGUUGAUAUUGUUGCAUAUUAUAAUUAAUGCCAUAGAUCAUUUUCACCAAUCAAUUGCUAAUAAUUUUUCUUAUUUAUUUUCUGCACGAACACAUCAAUUUGAGUCCAUCCGGACUCCAUUUUCUUGCAUUAUUCCUCUUCUUGAGUCAACCUUCUUUGGAGUUGUGAAAGGGAGUCCUGUUAUUGGGUUAAACACCCAAAAAUCAGCAGCAACAACAGCUCCAAAGACCUCAAAUGAGGAGCAAAAAUGGGGGUUAAAACCCGCAAUUAGAAGCAGCUGCAGUAGCCUUGUAAAGGCCGAAAGUUGAUGGUUUUGGACCCUCAAAUGUGCACUAAGUACAGAAGAUUUGUUGCAGCCUCAAAGGGCCAGAAGAGUAGCAUUUAUUGGACUUACAAAGUCUGAGAAUAGCACAGCAGGAACGGAAAGUAUUUUGGGCCAAAAGGCCUAAAAUCAAAGCCGCAAAAGGCAUUAUUUUCAGCCUCAAAGUGACCAUUUAUGGGCUGAAAGUUUCUUAGUUAUUUUAUUUAUUGUUUAUGUUUAUCUACUUUGUUAUUUUUGUGGCUGUUGAUUUUUCCUUAAACUUAG